GUUGGUUAAGGGCUUGUAAGUAAGCAUUUCACGGUAAGGUCUACACUGUUGGUUAAGGGCUUGUAAGUAAGCAUUUCACUGUAAGGUCUACACUGUUGGUUAAGGGCUUGUAAGUAAGCAUUUCACUGUAAGGUCUACACUGUUGGUUAAGGGCUUGUAAGUCAGCAUUUCAUGGUAAGGUCUACACUGUUGGUUAAGGGCUUGUAAGUCAGCAUUUCACGGUAAAGUCUACACUGUUGGUUAAGGGCUUGUAAGUCAGCAUUUCACUGUAAGGUCUACACUGUUGGUUAAGGGCUUGUAAGUCAGCAUUUCACUGUAAGGUCUACACUGUUG
Molecule: long non-coding RNA, 333 nt
Organism: Oncorhynchus tshawytscha (Chinook salmon)
Lineage: Eukaryota; Metazoa; Chordata; Actinopteri; Salmoniformes; Salmonidae
Source: Ensembl